UCUAAAUAUGGCAUGUUUCCACCAAUUGUAACCUUCUGCGUCUCUUUCAACAAGGGACUUUUAAUUUGAAGGCGAAUCGCAAAUUCCACUAUUGUGGCUAACUUCACAACACAUACCCCGGUCGGAUCAGGCCCCACUGGCCAGACGAAGCUAGGUGGCUGCUUAUAACUUUAGCUUUGGGAAACAGGGUUAAGUAGCUGGAUAGCUCGUUUUUUUUCUUCGUGAACUGAAGUUCAAUUCCAAUAGGCGAACAACAAGUGGCUACCUAGUGAAUACUUACUCACAAGGAUUCCUAAAUAAUUGCUAAGAAUAUUGAAAAUGACUGCAGUUUCUACUGGUAAUUGUUUUCAGUCUGGUUGCAAUUUGAUGCUAGCAACCCCAGAAGUUGCUAAUAACGUCAAAGAUAUUAGCCUUUUAUUUUUAUUUUAUCAGGUUUGUUUGGUGGCGGCUGGCACGUGCAAAUGCAGCACACACAACAAUCUAUAAUAUAAUUGUGUUAUUUGACGUGUCGAAUAUUGUUGCAUCUUUUUGACAAGCAAAGACCUAAACGGCGUUCCAUAGUAUGUUGUUGUUGGGGUUUGUCGAAAUAUAACGUCGUGCUUGGAUCAGCUGCAUUUUACUUCAGACAAUGAUGCUUGAUGGCAGAUAUUUUUCCUAGGGUGGACUACUGAGUCAGCUUGUUGUCAGGCCUGUCUAUCCCUCUCAAGAUGGACAAUAUGCUGGAUAAAGAUGUGGAUGACUCCAUAGAAUGUAAUACAACUUUAUAAUCCAUUGGUGAGAAUGGAAAAUGUCUUCUCCCUUUCCCAACACAAACAAAUACACACAAGUUGAGUCAACAGCAGUGCAGAGCCCCAGGAUGGAGGGGUGCUGCACUGCAGGGUGUUGGGAAAACCAGAAGGCACAUUUCUGUUCUAAUGUACAAUAAAGUAUCUGCUCCCUCCA
Molecule: long non-coding RNA, 942 nt
Organism: Oncorhynchus kisutch (coho salmon)
Lineage: Eukaryota; Metazoa; Chordata; Actinopteri; Salmoniformes; Salmonidae
Exons: 2
Source: RefSeq, a predicted model, not a curated record